GAUGAACGCUGGCGGCGUGCCUAAUACAUGCAAGUCGAGCGAACAGACGAGGAGCUUGCUCCUCUGACGUUAGCGGCGGACGGGUGAGUAACACGUGGAUAACCUACCUAUAAGACUGGGAUAACUUCGGGAAAACGGAGCUAAUACCGGAUAAUAUAUUGAACCGCAUGGUUCAAUAGUGAAAGACGGUUUUGCUGUCACUUAUAGAUGGAUCCGCGCCGCAUUAGCUAGUUGGUAAGGUAACGGCUUACCAAGGCGACGAUGCGUAGCCGACCUGAGAGGGUGAUCGGCCACACUGGAACUGAGACACGGUCCAGACUCCUACGGGAGGCAGCAGUAGGGAAUCUUCCGCAAAGGGCGAAAGCCUGACGGAGCAACGCCGCGUGAGUGAUGAAGGUCUUCGGAUCGUAAAACUCUGUUAUUAGGGAAGAACAAAUGUGUAAGUAACUAUGCACGUCCUGACGGUACCUAAUCAGAAAGCCACGGCUAACUACGUG
RNAcentral lists this ribosomal RNA (497 nucleotides) under uncultured bacterium. RNAcentral's name for it is "partial 16S ribosomal RNA". It matches the Rfam family "Bacterial small subunit ribosomal RNA", at positions 28 to 507 of the family's 1533-position model. The record is from RNAcentral.